AUCAACAUCAAGCCCCCCAAUAUUUGCACCAGAUUUGAGGUAACACACAUUCUUCGUUUUGUGCAGACCAAGGAGAUUCGAUAUUCAAACCAAAAAAAAAAAAGGAGAUUCGAUCGGCCAAAGACUUUCUGACGGCCAGUCGCGCGCAUCUGGAAACAAAAUGUUGAAUGUGAAAUGAAUUCAUGUAUUAAUAUGAUUGAAUUGCUAGUUCUGGUCUUCUGGAAGAUAUUCUUGUUUUUUCAUGUAGAAUGAUUGAAUUGGCUUCGUCCUGUUAGAUAGUGGAAUACUAAUAUAAUGGUCGACUUAGCUACCAAAAUAUUCUUGUCGAUAAGAAUAGGGUAUCGGAUCUAAUCUUCCAGCCGGUAGUGCGAUGACUUCCGGUCUGCUUCCAACUCCAAAAUCCUUUUCUUUGUCUUGCAAACUAUUAUUACUUAUCACUGUUGUCAAACUACACAUAAGAGUGUGGGGAUUUCUAGUUACUCAGCGUAUCUGUGCAUCCUCUUCAUCUUGGAGUACUUUAAUAUAGGCUUAAUUAAGUUAGAGCUUAUGAGUAGUUCUAUAUUCAUCUUAAUUAUGUUAAUUAUGUGUGUUACUUAAUUAGUUAAUAACUCAUUAUGAAGUACUUUUAAUAUCCAAUUUUACGAUACGUAGAUAGACGAUGAAACUUUAAUAAAAAUAAUUUAAAAUUAAGUGGAUAACAGGAUACUCAAAGCCUAACAUUCAACAAGAUAUUGCAAUACUUUGUGUAUUUGUCACUAUAUUGUCAUAUUUUUUUAGGUGUAUUAAGUGAUUGCAAUUGGAGAAGAUGAGAAGGUUGUGUGCAGGGGUGGAACCACUCUCAACGGCCUGAAGGGGUUCAAACCCCCUAGCAAUCUGAUAACACAGCCAAAUAACCAAUAAAAUCUAUACAACUAGACAAGAGUUUGUGUUUCUAGCUCAACCGACCCCCUGGCAAUAUGAAAACAUGGCCAAAUACCAAUCAAAAUUAUACAACUAGACAAGAGUUUGUGUUUUUUUAGCCUACAAAUCUCCCUUUCCGGUAUUGAGUAGCAAGUCAGUAACUACUAUAAGUCUUAAAAAUAAUAUUUUUAAUAUAAAAGUAAAUUUCUGAUGACAAAUAUUAAUAGAAUAUAUUAACUCUCAUCAUAUGUUUACCAAAAUUUAGAAUAUAAGGAAAAAACAUUAAUAGAAUAAUAUAGAUGCUCCAUUAGGUAAUAAGGAGAAAUUAAUUUUACAAAAUAUUUUCUUAUCAUUUCAUAUUAUAUCUCGGACCCUUAAGUUAUAAAUCUUGUUCCGCCAUCGGUUGUGUGGAGUGGAUCAUAUGCUUUUAAGGAUUCAUGUGUGGGGGUGGGAACAGAUACAACACAGAUCAGUCCUGAAAACAGCAAAAACGGGAUGACAGUUGGGGCCUAACUCUGCUGGUCGGAUAUCAAGCUUGACAGCAGCUUGAUCAAGCCUUUACCAUGGACUAAGAGAGAUGGACAUUAACGACAAGGGGCUUGAAUUUUUGGGCCUUGAGCAUGCAUGCAUGUGGGCUCACCUUUGGCGGAGGUUGGGUUUGGACAAUUUUUUUGGCUCUGCAUUAUUUUUAAGAAAAAUUUCAGUUUACUCGUCUAAAUUUUAGGUCUAAAAAGUCUGAUACCUUUUUUUUUUUUUAUAAUCAGACUUAAUCCUAAACUUUCAAAAUAAUAUUAAUCUCGACCAAAAUUUGAAUCUCGUAUUAAACAUGAUGUCAUGUGCGCUGAUGUGGAGCAGACAAGGUUGAUCCACAUUAUUAUUUUAUAUUUUUAAUCAUUUUUUAUUUGAGGAAUUGAUAUCAAAAGACGUCAUCUCCGAUCUACAAACUCGUCUUCUCCUCUUCUACAUACUCGUCUUCCCCACACAAAUUUCGCCGGAGACCCAAAACCGUCGACUAAAUCUCCUUGUCUUCCCUUCUUCUCUUGUUCUCUGUAUUUCAGAAAAGAGGUCUUCCCUUCUUCUAUUGUUCUCUGUAUUUCAGAAAAGAGAAGGUGAAACCCAUACUCGUUUUGCCGGAGAUGACGGAGACCCAGAUUCGAUAUCUUCACACUUCUAUUCUCAAUACCCAAAGCAGUCAAGUGAACCCAGUGCUCAUGUUUCAUUUUAAGCUUUACCGAUUUCGUUUUGUGAAUUGCUAUGUCAACCGAUGUCUUAUGGGUUUGUAUGUUUGCAUGUCAAAACAUUGCUUUGAACCACGUGGGAGAAUUUCUGAUAUUGCAAGUGGUCAAUUUGAUGUUUAGUUACUGCUUUCCAUUUAUUUUCUUUUGUGGCAUUUGUGAUCAUAUGUAAGGCAUCUGGGUAAGGUGAAGCAGUAACGAGAAGAUUUGGUCGGCGGCUUUGGGUCUCCGGCGAAACGAGUCUGGAUUUGAUGGGAGAAGACAAGCCUGUAAAGAGGAGAUGACGUCUUGGCUUAUCAAUUCCCAAAUAAAAAAUGAUUAAAAAUACAAAAUAAUAAAUUUUUGUUUAAUUAAACAUCAUCAUCUCCCCUUUACAUAUAUAAAAUAAGGAAAAUACUCAUUCAGUACUAAUUUAAACUUCUCAUUUUCCAUUCUAAUGACAAUCUUUUUCAUUAGCUUAUUUUAAUAUAAGGAAACUUUUUUUAUGCCCAAAUGCACAAAUUUUUACUAAAGUCUUAACAAACCAUAUUAUUUUAAGACUUUUUUUUCCCUCACCCCUUAAACAUGCAUAGAGAGAGAAAAUGAAAGAGAGAAUACUUGGUCGGAAUCUCACCGGACUCUGGUCACCGGCCGCCGGACUCCGGUCACCGGAAUUUCCCUUGUAACUAGUUACUGACCCCCAAUAACCAGUUACUAAUCAGUUAAUGACCCUAAUAACCAGUUACUAACCCCCAGUAACCAGUUACUGACCAGUUACUCACACCCAGUAACCAGUUAUUAACCCCAAGUUACUGACCAGUUACUCACACCCAGUAACCAAUUACUAACCCUUAAUAAUCGUGUUACUAACUUCUAAUAAUCAGUUAUUGACCCCCAAUAAUCAACUUAUUUCAACUUAAUGUAAUAGAAAAAAAAGAUUUACCACAAAUAAUCGAAUUACUGACCUUAAUAAUCGAGUUACUGACCCCAAUAACUUUUAGUUUUCAGUUACUGACACUCAAUAAUCACUUUGUUUUCAGUUACUGACACCCAGUAAUCACCCAAUAAUCACUUACUGACCCUCAAUAAUCAGGUUACAAACCUCAAAUAAUAACUUACUGGCCCCAAUAAUCACUUAUCAAUCCUCAAUAAUCACUUACUGACCCCAAUAUUCAAAUAUAAGGAUAAAAAAAAAAACUAACUGACUUGAACUGGGCACCCACCAUCCCCGACGGUGAGCACACCGGCCUCCUCCACCGACCCCGGCGCAUCCUGGCAAGCAACACCCUUCCCCAGCCACGAUCCAGCCCGGAUCGAACUCUAGCCGAGCCCUAGCUCCGAGCGCCGCCCGGCAACACCAUCAUCGAUCUUGGCACAAACCCAGACCCGACGUCGACGAGUUUAGAGGAGCGGCGGAGUAGGAAACCAAGGAGGGAGAUGACAAUGGAGGAGGAGAAAGAGACCAUGCAUACCGCCGGAGACGAUCGGAGACUUAAAAACAGAGACGUCAAUGAGUUCAGAGGAGCGGCAGAGUAGGAAACCGAGGAGGCAGGCGACAAUGGAGGAGGAGAGGAGAAUGGAUGAGCCAGCAGGCUCUAGCCGCGAGUGAGCAACUGAGACAAGGCCGGAGAAGCUUUGAGAAGCAUGGUGGUGAAUUCUCAAUGGAAAACGAGGAGAGAGAGAGAGAGAGAGAGAGAGAGAGAGAGAGAGAGAGAGAGAGAGAGAAGAGAGAGAGAGAGGAAAACGAGGAAAACCAGAUCGGGAAUAAGAGCAGGAGAAAGAGAUAAGAUUUGUGUGGUUUAGUUACACAGGGUAAUAGUGUCUUUUUCUCAAGAAUCAUUGGAAUUGGUGAUGUGCUCAUAUUAUCCUAUAUUUAUAAGCCUCUUAUGCUUGAGAUUUGUGUUUAGUUCUCUUCUUUGUGAUUGAUUUUACGUUAAUUUAAUGUUUUUGUAGGUUUGUGUCAUAGAGAGAAGAAAAUGAGCUAAAACAAGCAAAUAAGGAUUGAAAGGCGACUACAAUCCCAAGUGCUAGAAUCUGCCUAUGCAGAACAGCCCACUUUGCCGAAUUACAGGGAAUUACUCGGAUUGAAUCAGACUAUGAGCCUUAUAUCAUUGGAAAGCUAUGGAAGUCUACUUUCUGUAGAAUUUUACGGAUCUCGAUUUCGAUACUUAUGGACUGAGUUAUGAUCAUUUGAAUGAAGAUAGGUCAGAUCAGAAAAUCUGCUCGGAAUUACAAGCUUUUGUGGAGAACUCAAGUUUCGUGUCACAAGAUCGCUUAAUCCUAGUGCUUCAAGGACAAUAAUUCAGAUGAGGAUUCAAAAAGUACAUGUAUUCCUAGUUCUACAAGAGAUAUCUCAAGAUUUUUCUCAUUCCAUAUAAAGAAAGGAGUCUGAAUCCAAGUCUUACAAGGAAAUAUGAAACCAAAAAUGAGCAGGAAACUUCUCUAUAUAAGGGAGCACGAAUUUCACAUUGAGGGAGGUCUCGAGAGCACAUUGAAGACGCCUAAAGGAGCAGAGACCAUCCAUCCAUCCAUCCACCUUUCACCUUUUUGUUCUUUUUAUGUUUUUGUUAUGUUUUAUUUAGUCAUGUUUAGUUAAACCUUUUCUAGGGUUAGGAUGAUUCCCUAACAUGAAUGUUUAUGUCUUUGAUGAUUUAUUAAUAGAUUUAUAGUUUCUUAAUAAUGAAUGCUUAAUCACUGGUUGAAUUUUAUGCUUGAUGUUUAAGUUCUUUGAUUGAUCACCUUAGGGCUUUGCAUUUAGUAAUUGGAAGAUAAAUUUGAAGCAGAGAUGCAAUAUAAUUUAUAUAGCUUCUUGUGGUUAAGUGUGAUGAAUUACAUUGUUGCUUGAGAAAGAAUAAUGGUUUGCUUGAUUCUCUUAUUUUCUAGUUCGUAAUGACUCCUGCAUGUUAAAUUUAUACCUGAGAAUGAUAGACUGCAUAGCUAGGAUAUACGACUUUUACCCGAGAGGGAGAGCAUCAUACACUUAAGGAAAAUUAUGGUCUAGAGUACCUGAGAAUGACUUAGAUACGGGAAUUGUCAUCUAGAGAAACGAAAGAGUCUGUUAGUUGCAUCAAAGCAUAAAUAGGAUUGUUAGUGGUUGAUUCUGACGCCCUAGAUUCAUUUAUCAUUAUUUGUUUACUUAUUUUAUUGUUUCUUUGUUUCUUUAAAUUGUUAUCGUGAUUGUGUGUUUUAGUAUAGUUAGUUUAGGUAUUUCAUAAUUUGAAUUAAACUAAUAUCCUCGUGGGAACGACAACCCCUUCUCUUCCAUUUCACUAUACUACAUCCACCCUGUAUACUUGCAGGAAUUCCAUCAAUGGGCACAAAGAUAAAACUUUAAUUGGAAUGGGCUUUAGUUUUUAAAUAUUUGGGCAUUAGGGCAUUUUCUCAAUAAUAAUUUCUCAAAUAAAUUUUUGUUAAAAAUAUAAAAUAAUAAUGCUCCACAUCAGCGCAUGACAUCAUGUUUAGUGCGAGAUUCAAAUUUUAGUCGAGGUUGAUGUCAUUUUGAAAGUUUAGAGAUGAGUCUGAUUAAAAAAAAAAAGAUAAGGUAUCAGACUGAUUUUCGACCUAAAGUUAAGGGGAGUAAACUGGAAUUUUCCUUUAUUUUUAAUUUAAUUAUAAUUUUUAUGUUGUUUACUUUAUUUGUGCUUUAAGUGAGAAAUAAGACUUUACAUAGUUUCGUAGGACCUACUGGGAUUCGUACCAGUGUGUGUACUCAAUGUGCCUUGUCUACUUUAGGUAGGUGACGACUUCCUUGAUGUGUCAAAUGAUCAUUGUCACCUAAUGGUAUUGUGAAGUUAGAUGUCUUUGAAUCUCUCUUUCAGCGACGACAUAGUUGGAAAGCUGAAUUAUUGGACAUUAGGACGUGUAAACGUGUUACAUAUCUUGUGAAUUUCUCAGUAUGUCGUCAGUGUGUAAAAAAAAAAAAAUUGUUGCUAAUAGAGUAGUAGAGUAAUACUCUUUUCUGGUUGGUGCUUGUUAGAAUAUUUAUCUGAUACAAAGAACUCUAAAUACUUAGACAUAGGUUCAAUGUCCCCUCCCUUUCCCACCUCGGAAUUUUUAUUAAUAAAACGUGAUGGCAUUCACCCCAAAGGUGAGGCGUUCAAACUUUAAUCGCUAACAUAAAUAAAACAAUCACUCACUUGUCACCAAUAGGCAAUGACCAACCUAGCACACAAAAUGGGGUUCCAAAACAUCUACCACCGAAAGACUCGAAUGCUACCUUUAAUUGUGUAGUGUAACAAGCACGCAGGCAAAAGAACCAAUGCCUCGUUUGUUUCAUGGAAAGGAAGCAUCAAAAAAGGAAAGUUGUUCAUUUCCAGUGUUUGGGAAAGCAUAAGAAAAGGAAACAUUUUCUUGAUUGAUGGGAAAUAUGGGGGAAAAUGGUUCCUUCCAAAAUCCUAAGGAACCACUUUCUUUUCUUCUUUCCCUGUAUUUAUUACUCACAACAUAAUAUUUUAUUAUAUUAAAUCUCAACUGUUUAACAACUUUCUAAUGGAAUUUCCUGGUGUUACCAAACAUCGGAAUAGAAAGUUCUUGUAAAAUUUAAUUCUUAUUCUCUUUCUCUUCCCAAGGAAAGAGAAAAGAACCACUUUCCUUUCCGGGAACCAAAUGAGGCACAAGGGUGGCCUCCCUGACGUGCUUACCUAGAGGACCAUUGUGUAGUGUUUAGGCUGAAGCCAACUAUGUUUAAACAAUAUGAUCGAUGACAUCAUGUCAACCACGAAACGUGACAAAGAGCAUAUUAGAUCAAAGAUAGAUGACAUCGACACAUCGUUGGGACAACAUCAACCGUUGUUGAAUUGAUGUAGAAACUCACGUUAGAUGUAAUUUUGCUUCAAAAAAUAUGCAUCUUUGUAUGACAAACUUUGCAUAACCAUAAUCUAAUGGAAGGUCUUUAAUAUCCUAAAUUUGGUUUGUAUACUAAAAUCAAACUUAAAAAUAUGAGAAAGGAUGGUAGUAGAAACAAGUUGAAGAUCUUCUCUAGCUAGUAUUGGAGAAUAAGACCCUUUCUGAAAAUAAAAUUGCAACGGUGGCGCACUUCUGUUGUUAACAGUUCUAUGUGACGAGAGACUACUCGAUCCCUUAAUGGCAACACACAAUUAUAUUGCAUAUGGAGAGCAAGAGCGCAAGACUGAGAUCAAUCAAUUUGAAAUAUAAACUCAUAUAACCAAAAUCCAAAACUUUAUAGCUAUAAUACUGUCUGACAACACAUUCAUAUAUAGAUCUAAGCAAACAAUCUCCUUAAAAGAAAAAAAAAUACAAACAAUUCUAGAUUUGAUGUAAAAGAAAAGGCAAACAAACAAACAAUUUAAGAAAUAGAUGAAAUUAAUAAACGUAGUACUUGCACCGCGAAACCUCAAUGAGAUCGUCGAGAAGUUUAGUCCUUAUGCAAAUCCUUCAGUCGUCGGAGCCAAAGAGACCACCUUCGCCAAAGAUAUCACCAAGAUCUCCAUCCUCUUCCUCUUCAUCUUCAACCUUCUCUUCCUUCUUCUGCUCGGCUGAAGCAGUAUCAGCAGCACCUGCGUUACCGGCUGCGGGUGCGACACCAGCAACUGCGCCGCCAGAAGGAACAACAGAUGCCAACUUCUCUCUCCCGGAGGCAACUACCUCGUUGAUCUCUUUAUCUUUCAUUUGGGACAACAACAACUCGAUCCUAUCAUUAUCGACUUCGGCUCCGACAGACCCGAGAAUCUUCUUCACAUCAUCAGCAGUGGGACUGGUGUUCCCUCCCAGAACAGCCAGCAUAUAAGCAGCAAUCACCUUCAUGUCUUCUAAUUAACAAUGAUAGAGGGCUUCUUCAACAGGGGGAUUAGGGCAAAUUAAGUUGGGGAUUAUUGUAAGGGCGGGGUGGUUUAUAUAGAGUUUGAGAAAGGUUUAGUCGGCUAUCCGAGGACGUGGAGACCGAGUUAUAUAUGGAAAAGGAAUCCUAGUGCUUUAUGGAAAUUCAAAGUGGUGAUUAUGGUAGGUCUGUACUUCUUAUGGUAAGUAGUGUCUUAAGGUACUACGUGGGAUUCAAGGUAACCGGGUGCUACAAGGAAAAACCACGCAAUUUUGUUUUCUAUUCCUAUAAGGAAUAGAAUUAGAUAGGCUUUGACCAGAGAAGGAUUUUAUAGGUUAUAUCAUGUGUCAAUUAACACAACAUUAUAACUUUGCUCCCAGUUUGGUGAGAAUUAGGCCCGCUGCUAGUUAGGCCAAGUUUAACAAGAAAAUUUAUACAUUUAUAUAUAUACACACACACACUAAAGCUUGGUUAACUGUUCAUAAGCAUAUGAACAAUAUACUGACCAUUUUGCCUCUGUUAUUUUUAGGAAACCACAAUAUUGUCAUUAACCCUAGAUAUAUAAUCAGUAUAACAGCUGAGUAUAAUUUGCAUGUAUAACAUUCUAUGAAGUACAUAUCAGAAACAUUUUCAUCAAUCAAUUAACCCAUUGACCAACUUCAUAACGUUGAAUUUGGAUAAAGUAAUUUUAAUGUCCAUAGAAAUUUCAAAAUCAUAGGAAUUACAAUUCCAUGAAUUUAAAUCCUAUUAAUUGAGAAUUUCAUUGUUUGGAUUUCAUGACGUACAGUUUUAAAAUGACAAGAAUUUGUAUUCAAACUAACCUUAGUUAAGGAAAUUGACAAAUGAUGUUUAUUUUGUGAGGAAUUCAAGUUGGGAAUUUAAGCUCCUAAAUUCCACAAUCAUUUUCCCGUGAAUUCACUCGCAUCCAAAUACACAGUAAAUGUAUACACCGCAUCAAGGCGUGGGUAUAAUUCUAGUUUAUACUAUAUACAGUUCCCUUAUGAACAGUAACGUUAGGCGAAAAUGACGAUUUCGUCCCUUUUUUUUGUUUAAUUACAGCUCUUACCCGUGAGGCUAAAAUGACGAUUUCGUCCCUAUUUUUUAUUUAAAUACAGCUCUACCAUGGGGCUAAAAUGACAAAUUCGUCCCUAUUUUUUUGUUUAAUUACAACUCUACCGUGGAGCUAAAAUUACAAUUUUGUCCCUAUUUUUUGUUUAAUUACAGCUCUUACCCAUGAGGCUAAAAUAACGAUUUCGUCCUUGUGUUUUGUUUAAGCUCUGUCAUUAAGAAACUUUAUGAAAUGACUGAUUUACCUUUCAAUUGUUGCUCAAUAUCAAUUUUACCAUCUUCUUACACCAAAAAAGUUGAAACCUCGCGUUUCGACACGGGUACAAAUCGUAGUAUAGUAGAACACUGACCCGAGUUAGUUUUUAGUUUCGAUUGUCCUAUUUUCACCUGCAAUGAGCAUAAGUUAUUUAUUUAAUCAAUAGAUGAGCACAGCUAUAUUUAAUGUUAAAAUUUUAAAAAAAAAAAUUUAGAUGCUAAAAUUUAAAAUAUUACCUACACUACUGGAAAAAAGCACUUAGGAGACGGAAUUAUUUCGUCUCCUAAGUGACAGAUUUCAUCUCCUAAGUACUUAGGAGACGAAACGUCCGUCGGCUAAGAUCCGUCGCCUAAGUGUGGUGAGGUAGACACUUAGGCGACAGAAUAGUUGAAUUCCGUCGCUAAAGGCUGAAAAAAAAUUUUAAAAAAAAUGUCACUGCAUGUUUUUUAUCCACUCACUCCGACCGCCCCAAAUACCACCACCACUGCAGGUUUUAGAAGUCACAACUAAAUGUCUUGAACUUUUCUCAUCCUGCAUAUAAGUAGUAAAAACUUGCAUUUAUAAACUGCAUAUGGAAAAAAUAAAAUUUACCGUCCCCCAGUAAACUUCUACUGGGGAUCAGUAAACUUACAAAAAAUAACCCUUUUUUAAUUUCAGGGACACAACACACAACAUAUACCAAUUCUUACCUUAAUAAACAACUUUAUUGGCCUCUAGUGAACCCAGUAGAAGUUUACUGCCCCCCAGUAAACUUCUGGCAGUAAACUUCUACAGGGGGUCAGUAAAAUUCAAUACAGUAUUUCUCUUUCAAUUUCAUGUUAAUUAUACACAACAUAUACUUAUUCUUACCCUAAUAAACAAAUUUAUUGCCUCAUAGUAAACCCAAUGAAAGUGUACUGCCCCCAGUAAACUUCUAUUGGGGGUUAGUAAACUUCAAUACAGUAUCUCCCUUUCAAUUUCAUGCCAACAAUCUGCCCCGGCCCAAAUAUACCACCACCACCACCGUACCAAAUAACCACCAUGCCAUCACCAUCAUACCAAUCACAUCCUAACCAAAAUAAAAUCAAAUUCAAAUUAAACAAAAACACAUAAAUCUAUCACCAAAGCUAAUUAAACCAGAAAAAUUGAAGAACUUACCUUGAUUUCUUACCCCUUUUAAAUUUCAGGGGACGGUGGUGGGUCAACGGGAAGGUGGAGGCAACGGCGUCUGUGGUGACCCAGAUCUGAGACUUGGUGCAAGAGAAGGGGACGAGGAGUUUGCUAGCGGCGAGGACGGGUGAGUCGGGUUGGGUCGAGAAGGGGAGGUUGUUGGGUCCGAGGAAGGUGCGGAAGUGGCCGGGUGAUGUUGAAGAGGGUCUUGAUGGCGUUGAGAGUGAUGGCGUUUGUGGGGACGAAGUCGAUGAGAACGUGGCAGUUGAAGGUGGCGGCAGAGGAAGGAGCGGUGAGAAUGGAGAGAGAGGCCGGCAUGAGAGUGAUGGUCUGGAGAGAGAGAGAGAGAGAGAGAGAGAGAGAGAGAGAGAGAGAGAGAGAGAGAGAGAGAGAGAGAGAGAGAGUAGUAGUAGUUAGUUAGUUAGUUAGUUAGUAGUAGUAGUNNNNNNNNNNNNNNNNNNNNGAGAGAGAGAGAGAGAGCUCUGGGAAAAGAUGGGUUUUUUUUCUAUUGAUAAGGUUGGUGAGCGUGUGAUUUAAAAGAAUUGAUAUGUUUUGAAAAAUUUUGGUUUGAAUUUUCAUGAAAUUUUACGCGGGAAGAUGGGCGCUCCAAAUUUUUAGAACUUAAGCGACAGAAUGUUCUAUUUUCGUCGUCUAAGUGAUUCAUAAUUUUAUUUUUUUAAAAAAACAUUCCGUCUCCUAAGUUCUACUUAGGCUACGAAAUGUAAUUUCGUCUCCUAAGUGAUUCAUAUAAAUUUUUAAUUUUAUUUUUCAAAAUGCCGUCGUCUAAGUAAAAAUAUUCUGUCUCCUAAGUAGUACUUAAGCGACGGAAUGAAGUCGUUCUUAGGAGACGAAAUCGAAAUAUUUCGUCUCCUAAGAACAACUUAGGAGACGGAAACUGUUUCGUCGACUAAGUAGAAAAUUCCGUCGCUUAAGUACCACUUAGGAGACGAAAUUUUUUAAUUUCGUCGCCUAAGUGCUAUUUUCCAAUAGUGCUUAAGCAUUUUGGUAAACAAAAAAUGAGCAAAAUCAUAAGCAUCGCUAGAUAUAGUGACACAAUGUAAAAUAUAAAUGUUGUUAUACAUAUAUAUAAAAUUAUGUAAAAUAUGAAGUAUAUUGUUAUGCGGAAGCGUAAACAAACCGAAUAUUGAAUGAAACAAAUAAAAGAAAAGGUAAACAAGGACACAUAAUUUAUAGUGGUUCACCCAAUCAAUAUGAUUGAGCUACGUCCACUUUUGGAGCCGGCGAGAAAUUCCACUAUGACAAAAGAGAGAGAAUACAACAGAGUAAUAUUCUCAACCCCAUGUUAUGUGGAAGCAGCUGACGUGCCUCACGGGUCUCACACACACAGGUCCAAUAAUACCGCUACUCCCCCACUUUAGCCACCCGGUGGAGAAACAGGUACGGGGUUUUACACAAAAAGCAUUGGCAUUAGUGUGUGUGGUACCAUUCCUUAUAACCUAAGGAUGACUCUUUCACGUUUCCGAUGUGUGAUUCAAAAUGGCUCAUAUCUAAGUCACACUUUUUCCAAUAAUCUCCACAUGGUGUGAUUUGAGUCAUCUCCAUCUGUCUCAUGAUCCAAAUUCCAAUAGCUCAACCUCAAUCACAACCAUCUGAAUCUUAUGAUCCCAAUCCAAACAGGAGCUCCGUCAAAUUGCAACUCGAUCGUACGAGACAUCAUGUCCCAAGUGUCACCUGGGCUUUGAUACCACUUGUUAUGUGAAAGCGGCCAACAGAUCCCACGGGUCUCACACACACGGGUCCAAUAUAUAUCUCCACUAGCUAAAGAAGCAGUUGAAAGUAUCGUCAAGUAACAUCUUGUUUAAACAAGUUCUUAUCAUAUCUAAAAGGGUAAAUUCCUUUUAUAGUACAUGAGGUAUCUCUAUUAAUUAAGGCAAUUUGCCUUAUGGAACUGCCAUGGUUAAAUUUAUCUUAAUCCUCAUAAAUGCUCUUACCUGAAAUUCAAUAUAGCAAAUCAAAAAUAUAUAAAAGAAGGGUAAAAAAGACAAAAUUCAAUAAAAAAGGAUUACAUGGAUAAAAUUUCAAAAUAGCAGUUAUGCGUUGAUCAGCAGUAUCUCAAACCAAACUGCACCUGUCUCUUCCUCCUAUUUACGUGCAAGUAUAUCUUCUCCACUUUUUACAUUUGCUAAAACUGCUCUUCCUUCUCUGUCAAAACUGCUCUCAUGCCUUCCUCUCAGGUAACAAAUUUCUUCUCUCCUCGAUAAUCUGAUGGAUGAAGGCUGAUCUUAUGUAACAAAAAUAAUAUUGCAAAAGGAGAGAGAUCGAGGGAAGGCUACCAGAUUUGAUAACUAAGCAUGUUAUUCUUUUGUUCAAUUAUUGGUUUUACACACACUGACUUCUGGGAUUUUUGUUUUCCUGUUUGUUUACACACACAAAAUGUCAUGCACAAUUUAAUGGGAAACAAAUGGGUGUGCUUGGUAUCAAGAAUUCGUUUUUUCUAACCUUCAACCAAAUUUUUCCUUCUUUCCUUUUUUCAGGUUUUCAUUUGCGUGCAGCACUCAGACCAUGUUCAUCACUGAGGAUAUAACCAAAGGUUCCUCACCUUCUCAUAUCUUUGUCUUUGUACGAUUUCNNNNNNNNNNNNNNNNNNNNAAAAAAAAAAAAUAAAGGUUUUGAAAUCUAAUCUACCAAAUCAAAAUAAAAUAAAGAUAAAACACUAAAGGAUAGGAGAUCAGGUUUCAAAUUUCAAACCAAUGAGGUUGUUCAGUUCAUUAUCACUACCUUAACCAUUUGCAAGCUUAUCUUCUUAUUCUUUACGUAUGCUAACUGCUCACAUCCUCAAAAAAGAAAAAGAAAAAAGAGGAAAAACUGAAUUGUUCAUCUUCUGCUCUCUGCUUAUUGCUUUCAACAUAAUCUGAUGUCUUCUUUUUUUUAGGAAAGAUUUGAAGGCUUGGGAUUCCAGUUGGACGAAAAAUUUGAUUUCGAUUUGUUUAUGUUACAGACGAUCGAGCAGCCUUGCCAUCAAACUAGAAGGCCUUUGUCAACGCGCAAGGAACGGAAGGUGGUGAUCAAGGUUUAAGCCUUUAGUUGAUACAUUGUUCAUAUUGACAAUUUUUGCACAUAUUAUGGCUUUUAGUUGUUUUACCAUAGGCUAAUUGCACGUACAAUGCAAUUGAUAAGGAGAAAGAAAAAAAAAUGAAAAUUAUGAUACGUUAUUAUCUAGAUACCUUCUAUAAUUUUGUCAAGGUAAAUAUCAGCCAUCAGAGAUGAUCAAUGAACAACAACAUUAAACGUACACGUGAGAACGGUCAUUUCGCACGAGCGAUCACGCGUGCAGGAAGGUUAGUAGCUAAUUAGACAAUUUGAUAGCUCAUGUAUAAAAAAGGACAAUUUAGUACUACUCGGGUUUUUCCCAUAUGCAUUUUAGGUCUUCCAUAACACUGCAUCAAUUAGAAAUUUGAAGUUGAGUCCCUUCUUUUUUUUAAGGUCACACCAAAUUAGGGUAGUUGUGAAGCCAUUGCCGUUGUAUGUCCUACGAGGCACCCCAACAGGCCAAAACCAUCAAUGUUGGGAAACUUCUCUGAAUUUGCUCCAACAAAAUCCAAAACUGAAUCCAUUGAUGUCUAACCCCCUGUACCCAAACAACAUACCAGACCUCAUCAUCAUCAUCAUCAUCAUCAUCAUCUCCAACUGAAAAGUCAGACUUCCACACCCCACACGUGUAAAUCUGGCAGAUGUCUGAAGAAGAAGGGGCAGUUCCGUACUUUCAACUCCUUCCUUCCCCUCAUAUUCCGAUCUAGAUUAGCUUCUUGUUUUCUCGUGAACAUCGACCAAACGUGGCGGGACUAAAGCGCGUCCCAAAACACGUGUUUAUAAGUCGUCGAACUGGCUUCGCCAAACGUAGCCUUAACUGCGUGGACUUUUCGCUCACGCCACAGCUAACUCACGAGCCUCCUAUGCUACGUCGUUUUGGGGCCUUGUUGUACGUAUCGAAAUUCACCGCCGAGGGUAAAAUUCAAGCCGUGUUUGGCUGCCAAACUUUGGCAUCUUAAUAACCUAGCUCUGCCAAACUUGGUUAACCUCGCUAAUUUUCUUCAAGUGUAUUUCAAUUUUCAUGGUUCUGUUAUCUAAAGAAAUCAAUUCCUCAUUUUCAAAAUAAAUCAUUUCCUCGUAAAAAGAAGAAACAUGUAAAUUGACUCAUGUCUCACGAUAUUCCUUUUACAAUUGAGACACCUGUUAUGCCUAUAUUUAAUCAAAUUGUCAAUUUUUUGAAUAAAUAAAAUACCCUUUUAAUUGAACUAAGAGGAUAAACACAUUAGAAAAUGGUUUUGAUUUAUUUGACCUGGAUAGAGAGAUUCCAAAAUGAGCUUGAUAUUGUUCAUCUAUCAAAAUGUGUUUCCAUAUUUCCUUCCAAACAAUAUAUGAAAUAUGAAUAUGUAUACACUACACAUUGAGAGAUCACUCCAUUCUUGUUUGAAACAAUAGGAUAAUGGUCCAUUAGUUUCCUAGAAAAUAAGCCAUCACACUCAUUUAUCACUUCACAUUUUAUUUUAUGUCUUAAUCUCAUAAAUUAAAAUAUGCAAGGUUUAGCCAUUGAGUUAGCACUUAGCUACAUGGUGAUUAUGAUUAAGAUGCAGAAACACAAAAAAAAAAAAAAAAAAACUAAAAAUCAAGCCACGUAAAGACAAAUCUCUUCUUAAAGCAAUAGAACAUCUUAAUUCUUUUUCAAACUAUAGUACAAAUCUCGAGUUCAAUCUUUAGCAAAUCUUAAAAUUUCCUUGAACAUUAUAUAAGAUCAUCUUAACUCUAGGCUUGACAACUAAUAUAUUACAAAAAUGUCAAAACUUUAUGCUGCUCAAAUUUGGUGAAACAUACUUGAAAUAUAUACUCCUUAAUUAAGAUUUAAAUCGUGAAACAUUGUGUCUUUUACCUUCAAAAUUGAUAAUAUCCUAAAUCAUAGGUCUGACUUGAAUGUUGAAUCUAUAAAAAGGAAGCAUCUCUAUCCCCAAUCCUUGAAACAGAAUAAAAUCCAAGACUCUUAAUGACAUUAUAGAAAAGGAAAAUACCCAUAAAUAUUUCACUAUUGAAAAGAGAAAAGAAAAGAAAAAAAAGAGAAGCACAUUUUUAAAAUUGCAAAUUUCCAUUUAUUGAUAGAACUUCUGUAACAGUGGGGGACAAUAGAAACGUCCUCCAAACAGUCCAAGAAUAUUUACUGAAUGUAGAAACCAAACUAAACUUCUCUGCUUCACCUGAAAUGUCUCCAUCUCACUCCCUCUAAAUAAAACCCACAUAGUAAAUUUAGCCGGUCACUCAUUUCCUCUCUCUUGGAAAUAGGAACAGGAACAAGAAGAAGAAGAAAGAGAGAGACUUUGAAACAGGGUAGGAAGAGGUCUCUCUGUUUUUGAGAGAAAGGAAUUAUUAUUUUUUAUUAGUUUUGUUGAUAUAUAUAUAUAAAUAAAAGGAAACGAGAUCUCGACCAUAAUUCUGGGUUUUUGCUAAACUCGGAUUUGGGGCCCUUUUUUUCUUUCUGAUAAAAAGGGAUAUUCUCUGUCUCUCGCGGUUUCUCUCUCUUUUACUGCUGUCGUUUGUUUCUGUUCCUGGUAAUAAUCCGCUAUCUGCUUCACCAUUGUUGUUUCAUUUUUCAGUUUUGGAUGUUGUUUUGGUUGGUGGGUUGAUCUGAUUGAUCAAGAUCGUUUUUUGGUAAUUUAAUUGUGUCAAAGAUCAAAUCUUUGGCGUUUGGUUUGGUUUGUUUGAUUGGAUUUGUUGAAUGGUAAUGUGAUCGUUGGUUUUUGAUUGUCAGAUUUAGAUUGUGUGUGUUCAUAUUGAGUUGGUAGAAUGGCGUGAAUGGCUGCAGCUAUGUGUAUCUGUUUGGAUUUUUGCACUCUGGGUUUAUCUUGUUUUGGUGUUUGAACGAUGUAUGAAGCAUUUAGAGUUCUAAACUGCAGAUAGCUUUUGGGUUUUGAUUCAAAGUUUUAGUCUUUUGCAAAUUCAUGAGUUCUAGAUUUAUGUGUUUUCUUCUAUUCUUUGAUGUACAUUUAUGAUCAAUUAAUAAGGCCUUCCCAGAUUAACCCUGGGAUCCUUGGUUAGAGUCCAUGUUGGAUUGCUCUGGCAUUUAUCUUUAGUAUCAUUUUCAUUGUUUUUCCUUCACAUGACAUGAUUUUACCUUUUUCUGUUUUCAGGACUUCGGUUUGUAGGGCUGUUCUUUGGUGGAAGAUAUGGGGAUUGAAGAUUUGGGAUUUGAGAAGGUCCAAGGACCAUUGGGUACUGCUAGUGAAGGAGAGAAUUCCGCCAAGGAAAAUGGGAAACUGGGGGAAGGGCCGGGUCAUAAAGAGCCCAUAAAAUUUGGCUCACAUGGUGAUGAAAUGGUUAAAAAGGAAGGGAAUGGGGUUGUGGCACCAAACUUCCCUAAAGAUGCAGUUGAUGAGUGGCCUGCCCCUAGGCAGAUCCAUUCCUUUUAUUUUGUCAGGCACCGGACAUAUGAUGAUCCUAAGUUAAAAGCCAAAAUUGAGCAGGCUAAUGUAGAAGUUCAGAAGAAGAAUCAGGCUCGAUCUCGAGUCCUUGAAACACUGAAUGCAAAGAGGGUGAGUUCAAGUCCAUUUCCCUUAUUAUUGAGAGUGCUGUUUUGAACAUAACAUACUCAUGUCUAUUUGUUUUGACAUCAUUGAUUCCUUACAGUAUUACAUGUGGAUAUAUGGCAUUAUAACAUUGAAACAUAGGCUCUCAUUUGCUGUUACUGAAAUAUGAUUAUUUUGCAAGAACUAGAAUUGAUUUUUUGCUAUGCUUAUCCUAUGUUUACUACUUUAUGCUAAUAAUAACCUGAAACAGAGGUCCUCAUCGUUGCUACUGAAAUAUGAUAAUUUUGCUGGAAUUCAUUGCUAUACUAAACAUAUACACACACACACAUUCUACUUUAUGCUAAUAUUCUACUAAUUAAUCUGAAAAUUUUAAGGAAAAGAAGGAUUGAAACAGUAUGAUUGCACGCGUAAUCACUAGUUGAACCAGUUUUUUUUUUAAUGGAAGACCAUUUAAGUGCCCCAAGAGAGACGAAACCAAUCAUUAUGUAAACAAGUUGCUAGUAAUUAUCAAAGCUGUAGAAGCUAGCAGAUCUAACUACCUAGAAAAUCAGAAACAUAUAGGAUAGUUUUUAUGGUUUUUCCAAUUGGUCUUCAUAAGUCAUAACAAGAUUUUCUGUAAGUUAUUGACAGUGCAGUCGUAAGUUUUUCUUUCGGCCCAUGUUGUAAACGGGUUGACAAAGGUAAUAGAUACAUGGUUAGCUAAGUAUGAGCUUCAGGAACUGGAACUUGAUUAUCAGCUGUUGUAAAAAUAUCACUUGAUUAUGAAUGCCUGUGCACACAUGCAUAUAUGUAUAAACAUUGUAUAUGAAGUAGCAUCACAUACAUAUCUAUGAUACCUAUAUAGUGAAGCCAUUCCUCUGAUUACUUGUGUCUUUGAAUUCUUCCACUUAUACAUAAAUAAUUUUUUUUGCCAAUGAGUUUGAAUUUUUUUAAUAGUAAAAUAGCUUACACAUUUUUGUUAUUAAUUUUUUUCUUUUCAAGGCAGGGAUAGGUUACAGUGUUACACCUUUACAGUAAUGUUCUUGCUGAUUAUAAUGUUUAUUAUUGUUCUGGAAAACGAUUGCCUCCAUGAUAAUGAUUAUUAUCCCUGAUAAUAACAAGUAAUGCAAUGAGAUAAAAGAAGGCUACUUUUGAUGUUUAUUGGUACGACGAAGUUUGUCGUUUUAUAUCAUUUUGGUUAUAAAUCGAGCACUAUUAUUUUAGAAUGUAGAAGCGCAAGCCUCUAAUUCACUCCUCUCUUUUCUCUCUAUCUUCUUUCUUCAGUCUGAGAGAUCUGAGUUAAUAGAGCAGAUUAAGGCUCUGAGAUCUGACAACUAUGAAAUUAGUAAAAUUGUGGGUGAGAAGUUUAAGGAGAUUGCGCCCCUACGUCAGGAUCUCAAAAAGGUCCGUUCUGCACAUGCUAACCACAAUGGUGGUUUGUGUUCAUCUGAGGUAGAGCUUGAUGCUCGGGUAAGUUUUAUUACUGAGCUUUGUUAUCUGCAAAUUCAUCUCCUAAUUGUUCUCCUGUGAAUCACUUGCCUUAUAUAUUACACUCUAAUGUUUAUAUUGUUGGAACAGAUCAAAGGCUUGCAGUAUAUCAUACAACAUGAGAGCAUUCCGUUGUCAGAGGAGAAGAAAAUUCUGAAAGAGAUCAAACAACUUGAAAACACACGUGGAGAAGUCAUUGCUAAUGCUGUUGUACGAGCCAAGAUUCAGGAUUCAGUGGUUCAUAUAAACGAAGAUGCCCUUGAAGUGCAGUACAAGGUAAGCAGACUUUUAACAUUUGUCUAUUUUUGAACCAUCUCUUGAUUCCUUUGCAUACUUUCUUUAUUAUGUAUAGUAUGCUAAUAACUUCCACAAUUAUCUGAUUGUAGCUUGUAGGUGAUGAUUUGAAUGGAGUAAAGAAAGAGCAACAAGCAGUUAGGUCCAAAAUUCAGCAACUUGAUGAUGCAAUUAAGGCCGUAGAUAAGCAAAUUUCAUCAAUACGGGAUGAGCUGAAGAUGGUAACUGAUAAGAGGGAUCAAGCACAACAGAGCAUUUAUACAUUUAGGCAGCAGCUGGAUCAGCAAGUAAGUGAACAUGAUUGUGUUGCAACAUCUCUUUCUCUCUCACAUCUCAUUUUCAUCCUUUCUCGACUGUACUCUAGAGUCGGUUCUUUCAUUUUUCUUUUUCUUUUAAGGACUUCUGUUGUUGUCCUAUGGAGAACUGUAUAUUAUUCUUGUCUCAGAAAAUCGUAAUUGCUUCACCAUAGUUUAAUCCAAAUCUCAAAAAGGUUUCCCUGCAUGAUGCAUAUUCCAUUGAGAAACAAAGAUUCCACUGUUAACAUAGUAUUAUUCCAACAGGACUAGUUACUUAUAUAUAGUUAAUCAGUUGGACAGUUGGACAUUGUACUGCUAAAAGUAUGUUUUGACUCUGUUAAGAGAAAUUAAAACAAAAUUCUUUAUAAUUUUACAUUACCUGUCUCCUAAAAACAAGCUCCUCUCUGUUCACUGGCUGUGUCCUUCUUAAUCCAAUUCCUCAGUAUUUUAAAUGCAUAAAUCUUCACAAGAGAUGUCCACCACCAAAUUAAUAUUGUAGCUUGGGUUGCAUGUAGUUUGUAUAAUCUCUAGACUUCUUAGUUGCUUACUUUAAGCACUGCUUCCUAGUUUCUCAUUUUGCAACUCAUCUUCUUAUUGCUUCUCCUUGAAUAUAUAUACAUUUUAUGAACUUGGAAGUACUGCUUCCUAGUUUCUCAUUUUGCAACUUGUCUUCUUAUUGCUUCUCCUUGAAUAUAUAUACAUUUUAUGAACUUGGAAGUACCUUUUGGUCCAAUUGAAUUUUUAUUCACUCCGGUCUCCUGUAGUACUUGAAAUUAAUGAAAAUAUAGGUCUGGUGGUAUAUAACUUCUGAUGUAGACCAUCUUGCAAUGUGAAAUUUUACAACCCGAAAAUGGACGAAUUGGGAUCCUCUAACUUUGCUUUCUUAAUGUUUUUUUCUCUCUCCCUUCACGUCUGAAGUUGCCGGUUUUUGUAUACCAUGUCUAAAUUUAUUAUAACAAUUAGUAAAGUUUAUCGUAGUGAGUUAAUUUGUUUGGACACAUGGUAGUCUGUACCUUAACCUAUUCUUUUAUCGAAUGCUCUCAAAUUUAAACAUCUGAUAUGAAGGGUGGAAUUAAAUGGCUAUAUUUUAUUCAAAAAGUAAUAUUCGCUCUCACAACUAAUUUUUACUGAUUUGCAGAAUGCGUCUUUUUACCUCAGCCGUAAUAUCUUGAACAAAGCGAGAGGUUUGGCUAUCAAUAGUGAUGUUAAAGCGCUUGAAGAGCUUUCUCAUGCAGAGGUUUUUAACAAGCACUCUGUACAUAUCAGCACUCAUUGUUAAAUGUAGUAGGCUAUUCUAAAGGUUUGAUAUAUUUGACAGGUUGAGAAAUUUAUGUCCCAGUGGAAUAGUAAAAAAGAUUUUAGGGAUGAUUAUGAGAAAAGAAUUUUGUCGUCUCUUGAUAGUCGGCAACUGAGUAGGGAUGGACGCAUAAGAAACCCAGAUGAGAAGCCAUUGGUGGUUCAUGAAGUGUCCGCACCCCUAGUAGUAGAGUCGGCAACAAAAGCUAAUGCAAAACAAGUCAAGGAAGAUGGCACGUCUGCUCCAUUAGAUAGUUUGCCUGUGCAGAAGGUUCAGAAAGAAGCCAAAAGUAAAGCAGUGCUUCCAAAAUCUACUGUAGAUGAAGACGAGGAGAUAUAUGGGCUUGAGAAGCCGAAAGAAAGUAAAGUUGAUGAAGCAAAGUUGAAGGAGAUGAAACGAGAAGAGGAAAUUGCUAAAGCUAAGCAGGCCAUGGAAAGGAAGAAGAAGAAGGCUGAGAAAGCUGCAGCUAAAGCAGAAAUUAAAGCUCAAAAAGAAGCUGAAAAGAAGCUCAAGGUAGCUAUUUAUUUGUUUUGUCUUUUGGUUUUGUUUUUUCUUGUGUUGGUUUUGCUUAUUUGUUACCAAGUUAGUGACACUUGCAUUUUGAACUCAGGACCGUGAAAAGAAGGCAAAGAAGAAGGCUACAUCAGCAACUGAAAGCAAUCCUGAUGAGGCAACGGAGCCAAUUGCUGAAGUUGCGGAGCCAGAAAAGGCAACUGAAAAUGCUGUAGUUCCAGUCCCUGCCAAGGAGAAGGUGCAAAAAGAUAAAACUAUCAGGAAUAGGGGUCGUCCCAGAGGUCCUGACUCACUUCCGAAAGUUAUCCUGAAGCGGAAGAAGAGUAAUAAUUAUUGGGUUUGGGCUGCUCCUGCAGCUUUGUUAGUUCUGGUGUUUCUAGCACUCGGUUACUUCUAUCUUCUGUGAGGAAGGUAAAACAGGAACUGAGGUAGAGGAAGUGUUGAGAACUAAAGCUUUCUACUUGGUGAGUUUGCAAGCGAAAAAAGUCCCAAUCUUUUAGUUAAGUUUUCCUGUUCCUUGUAUCCUGUGUGCUAGGAUUGACCCGGAAGUCAUAACGUUGAUGGUAGGCUGGUAGCUCAGUCCAAAGUAUCUUUCAGUGGAGGAGACAUGCUUUUUGUAUGGUUUAUGUAAUUUCAAAUUUUGACUGUCCGUUUCCGUUAAAGUUGAUCUCAAAACCCUACUGUGAUCUUAUACAACUUCACAUUGUUUUUCUAUAUUUCAUCUUUAUAUUACCAUUUAGUAAACAACCCAAUCUUUGAAGAAGAAUUGAAGCACCAAAUUUGGCCCUUUUUAUUAAAUGGAAAUACAAAUUUAUAGAUUCAAUAAGCUGUGGGAACAUGUCAUUUGUAUCUUUUGGAUCAGAAAUCAAGAACGCGGAGGGUGUCGUCUCUAACCUGGCGCCCUCUCCUCCCAGAAAAGAAUCCUGCAAAACCCUACAAGCAAAGAGAUACAUCAGUCAACAUAAGGACAGCAAAGUCAAGAUAUUGAAAAUUUCAAAAAAAAAAAAAGUCAAGAUAUUGAAGUAGUAUGGAAAACUAUGACAAGAUCGGUGGAGACAUGCUGACAUUGUGCAGCUCAGUUUGUCAAAACCGGUGUGCUAACAUAAGAGUUCUCGUACCAAAAAAAAAAAAAACAUAAGAGUUCACUUAACAAAGCAACUGCGCGGCCAGCCUCGACCCUUGAAGAUUUCUGCACCUGUCUAUCAGUGAAUGAAGUUAGUUUAGAAUGAAAUUGUGUUUGGUAUACAUAGAAAUGUUUGUUAAGACUGUAACUAUUAUACAGGCAAUAUGGUAAAUUUUGCUGUGAUUCUUUUUGACAGCUCCACAAUGACUAUGUUGUUAUAAUGGUAGACAAAGCUAGUGCCUGGUUCCAUAUUUCUUUGAGCUUUGAUAACACCCUUACCAUUGGAAAGUACUGCUCAUAGUCAAUUUGUUAGGUCUAGAACGAUUAGAUAGUCAAACCAAAGACUAUCAUACGGUUCAGGAAGUAUCGACGUGGGACUAAAGAUAGUGUUGAGACUUGACUCACUUGAGAUAAGAGAUAAGAUAGAAUUUUCGUUUCUAUAGAACGGAGAGCGGGUUGAUCAUGCUAGCUAACUAGUCUUUAAAGCUUAAGAACAUUCAUUUAUAGAAUAUUUGCAAACUAUUUUCGAGUUUAGAAAAUAAAUGGGAUCCUCAGUAUGGCUGCUUCUGUUCUACUUCUUCAUUUCCAUGACCUUACACCACCUUGUUGCUGAUGACAUAUUCAAAGGUGACGUCUCAUGCACUUCCGCAGCUGAAUUUUGUUGGAGCUGUGCCGGUACGAGUAACUACACUAAUGGCAGCAUCUACCAACAAAACCUCAUCAGUCUUCUCUCCUCCUUUUCCAACAUUUCCCAAAACCAAGCCAACUAUGGCUUUCACAACUCUUCUCUCGGACAAGGCUCCAACAAAGUGAAUGCCAUUGCGUUGUGCAGAGGAGACCGCGGACUCGAAGAGUGUAGCACCUGCCUCAGAGAGUCCACACAGUCUCUCCUGCGAAACUGUUCAUAUAAAAGGGAAGCAAUCUUUUGGGCAGAGCCUUGCAUGGUACGGUACUCGCAAGACUUGAUAUUUGGUAUAGAGGAUGAGGAGCCUCAUAUAUAUCUGCCCAGCCCGAACAACGCAUUAAACCCGGAAGCGUACGGGCUGGUGCUUAACCCCUUGUUGGAAAUCUUAAUUGAAAAAGCUGCUUCAGGGGAUUCUAAUCAAAAAUAUGCAGCAGGACAUAAAACUGUUCCGGGAUACGAAACGAUAUAUGCACAUGCGCAGUGCACUCCAGACUUAGACAAAGUCAUUUGCAGCGAUUGCCUUAAGAAUUGCACCUCUGCUCUUCCAUCAUGCUGCAGUGGAAAGUCAGGAACAAGAGUUCUUAAACCAAGUUGCAAUAUUAGGUUUGAGUACAAUCUUUUCUACAAGUCUACGGUCGAUAAAGAAGUAGAUAUUUCAGCUGCGGCUCCAGCUCCAGCUACAACAACAACUUCAGAAACUCCUGCUCCACUUCCACCUAGGCAAGGUACACACACGAAAACACAUAAUAUUAUGUUCUUAUUAUGCUGUGUUUAUGUGAGGAGGCCAUCUUAUCUUAGAAAAAGUACAUUCAUCCUCACUCGAUCGAUCCAGUAAUCAUAAGUACACAAGUGCCUCAAUUUUUUUUGACGUGAAUAGUGGAAUGAUCCCUAUCCCCCCCUUCUGAUUUUCUGCAGGAAAGAAGAAUAACACAAAAAAUCAUAUCAUCAUUAUAGUUGUGGUUGUGAUUGCUUUUGUGUCUUUGCUUCUUGGUGGCUUGUGCAUUUUCAAAAGAGACAAGAAGCCAAGGGUAAAACUUGACGGUAAGUAAGUUGAACUGUCUCUAGUGUUGGAUGAUUCAUCUGUGCAUAUAUAGUCCGGUGCUUUCAAACGACUUCUUUUUCUUUCUUUUUUUCAAGUUAUACCUUCAGAUGAUAGUUUGGAAGAUAUUAGCUUGGUGGAAUCGUUACAAUAUGACUUUGAAGACAUAAGAUCUGCAACGAAUGACUUCUCUGAUGAAAAUAAGCUUGGACAAGGUGGAUUUGGAGCUGUUUACAAGGUAACAAAACUCAGCUAUUUAAUUUUUCAAUUGCAAUUGUUCUAGAGCAAAUUUGUUAACUUUUGAAGGGGUAGAAACUAUGUUUGCUGUUGUACACUAUAUGAUUUGAAAACUAUUUCAAUUUUCAACAGAUAAUUGUCUUCUUUAAUCAUUUUAUUUUUAUUUCAUAACUUCCUUUUCAGGGUAGGCUAUAUAAUGGACAAUAUAUAGCUGUAAAAAGAUUGUCUAAGAGUUCUGAACAGGGUGAUCGUGAAUUUAAAAAUGAGGUAAUGUUGGUUGCUCAACUGCAACACCGGAACUUAGUAAGGAUAUUAGGCUUUUGCUUAAAAGGAGAAGAAAGGCUCCUCAUUUACGAAUAUAUACCUAAUACAAGUCUCGAUCACUUCAUUUUUGGUAUGGUAACCUCUGCCUCCUCAAUAUAUUUCAUAGUACUUAUAAUUUCUUCUUUAUUUGAUAUGCAUAGCACAAAACAAUUGCGCACAUUAAUUCAUCCAUAUGGUCAAAAUUUCUUUUAGAUCCAAUCAAUUAUGGAUAUUUGGAUUGGGAAACACGUUACAAGAUCAUAGGGGGAAUUGUUCGUGGUCUUCUUUACCUUCAUGAAGAUUCUCGACUUCGAAUUAUUCACCGCGAUCUCAAAGCUAGCAACAUUUUGUUGGAUGAAAAUAUGAACCCCAAAAUUGCAGAUUUUGGGAUGGCAAGGUUGUUUGUCAUGGAUCAAACCCAAGGAGAUACAAAGACCAUCGUUGGGACCUUGUAAGUAACCUUGCAACUCUAAAUUGUAGUUUCCGCUUGUAACAACCAAAAUACUUUCAUUUCUGAUUUGGAUGUAAUCAUACAGUGGGUACAUGGCACCGGAAUAUGCAAGUCAAGGGCGGUUUUCUGUCAAGUCAGAUGUGUUCAGUUUUGGUGUGUUACUUCUCGAAAUGAUUAUUGGCAAGAAGAGUUCUAAUUUCCAGAAUGGUGAGGAUGAAGAUGACCUUGUAAGCUAUGUGAGUAAGAAUAUAUAAUCAACUUGUUACAUUACUUGUUCAUAAGUUUCUAGCUUUUUCCUAAAUAUUUUGUGAAUUUUCGUAGGUAUGGAGAAAUUGGAGGGAUGAUACAAUUUCAAAUAUCAUAGAUCCCAUGUUAACAACAGGCUCAAGAUCUGAAAUAAUCAGAUGCAUCCACAUUGGUUUGUUAUGUAUCCAAGAAAAUGUGAAUGACAGACCAACCAUGACUUCAGUUGCUUCCAUGCUGAGUAGUCAUUCCCUCUCACUCCCAGUACCUCCACGACCUGGACAUUAUUGGCAUUAUAACACUAAUUCAGACACAUCCGGGUCGGAGUUCAAACUCACUGAGACGUCUGAGAGAUCUGAAAGUUCUGUGUUUGUGUCAAGAAGCGUGGUUUCAGAUAUUACUGAAAUAUAUCCACGCUAGUGUGCCCAAGUAUUCUGUGUAUAUGUAUCAACUGAGGUGGAGGUCAGAUAGAUAAGGACGAUGUCCGUUUAUAUCUUAUGUGGUUUUCUCUACUAUUGAACAAACGACCAAUUUGAUUUUUUCUUUCUUUCUAGUUACUGGUUAUUUGGUAACUAGGUCAUUUUAUAUAUUGUACAGUACUACCUUCUAGUUCCAUCUUUGUAUAGCUUGUCUCUGUUUUUUCUAUUUUUUCUUUUUUGCUGCCCUUUGUAUACUCUAGCUCUUCUGAAUCCAUUGACUAGAACCAGUAUAAUUAAAAUCCAUUGAAACAUCAAAAACCAAUCAGAGCAGAAAUAUCGCUUCAAAGUGAAUCCUAUGACUAAAUCCGAUGAAAUAUAUACUUAUUUCCUAGUAAUAUCCACGUCCACGGACGUCAAGAACAAAUUCCACCGUACCCAUGACUCCCUGAUCACCUGGUCUUGUGUAGACUGUUGGUAAACGUACAAAAUGUAGCAUACAACUGGCCUGGUCCUGCGUUUCUUCGAAGCUUUCAUAACAUUAUUCUACCAUUUCAAUCAUUUUCACGAAGGAAAAUAAGACCCUUCACACUGUGCAUAGUCAUUUUAUUUGAUUUUAGUGAUAGAAUUGGUCAAUAUUGUACCACAAACCACAUACAAUCCUUCAACCCAAGUCAGAAAAAGACAUAUUACUAGGGCCACAGGAAGGAUUGAGAUAGAGAGAAGUUUCAAUGUAGACUUGUCAGUUGAUGAUGAAUGCAUUGCUAGCUAACCUAAACUUUAAAGCUCAGAACAGUUCAUGAAAAUCCGUAGAAUCAGUUUGAGUUUAAUUUUUACUUGAGCAAAUUAUCAUGGCUUCCUCAAUAUGGCUGCUUCUUCUUUUCUUUAUCGUUCCUUUAGUCUUAGACCAGCUUGUUGCUCCUACCAUAGCCCAAGAUGACGGUCUAUGCACUUAUAGAGCUGAAUUCUGCUGGAAAUGUUCCGAUAUCGGAAACUAUGCUAAUGGCAGCAUCUACCAACAAAACCUCAACAGCCUCCUCUCCUCAUUCUCCUCCAAUCAGUCCAACUCUGGCUUUUACAACGCUUCUCUUGGAGAAGACGCCAACAAAGUGUACGCAAUUGCAUUAUGCAGAGGAGAUCUAGGACCUGACAGAUGUGGUACCUGUGUCAGCAACUCUGCUGAGAUUAUCAUGCGAAAUUGCUCGCAGGAAAAGGAGGCAAUCUUAUGGUCCGAGGAUUGCAUGUUGCGUUACUCGCAAAGGUUAAUAUUUGGUAUUGAGGAAGAGGACCCUGUCAAGCCUGUGCCUAGCCCAAACUACGUAUCAAACGCGGAAGCAUUCAACCUGGUGCUGAACUCCGUUUUGGAUAAUUUAACUGAGAGAGCUGCUAAUUUAGAUAAUUCUGGUAAAAAAUAUGCAGCGGGACAUGCAACUGUUACGGGAGGUAAUGAAACGAUAUAUGCACUUGUGCAAUGUACUCCGGAUAUAGACAAAGGAAAUUGCAGUACAUGCCUUAAGAAAUGCAUCUCUGCUAUUCCAACAUGUUGCGGUAGAAGGCAAGGAGCUAGAAUUCUUAGACCAAGCUGUAAUUUGAGGUAUGAGGCCAAUCAAUUCUAUGAGUCUACAGCUGAUACAAUAGUAGAUGUUUCAGCUCAGGUUACUCCAGCAACUCCGGAAACUCCAGCUCCAGUUCCAGAUCAAGGUAUGUUACCCCAAGCAUGCUCUCGUACACUCACAGUAUCUGUUAUAUCAUCUAUGCUACAUGAAUUCAAUUAAACUAAGCUAGAAAUUGCCUAGAUUUGUGUGGACCGCGAGUCGUCUCUAAAAGUCUAUGUUCUUGUUUUAUUCAGGACAGAAGAGUAACACGAAAAAAACUAUCAUCAUCGUUGUUGUGGCUGUUGUUGCUUUUGUAACUAUGCUUCUCGGUGGCAUAUGCAUUUUCUUACGAGUCAAGCAACAAAGGGUAAAACUUGGAAAAAGGGUACCACUUGAAGGUAAUUAAUUAAGUUAAGUCGUCUAGAAUUUCGAAAAUGUAUGUGUAUAUAACUUUAAUAUAUUCAUACAAAGUUAUAUUUAAGUUGUACCUUUUUCAGAUCAUGAUUCUUCUCAAGAAGUUAGUUUCGCGGAUUCAUUACAAUAUGAUUUUGAAAUUAUAAGAGCUGCAACAGAUGAUUUUUCUGAUGAAAAUAAGCUUGGACAAGGUGGAUUUGGAGCUGUUUACAAGGUAAAAAAAAUUGCUUUGGAGCUGUUUACCAUAGUAAGAUUCUUUCCUUUUUCUUAUAACACAGUUUUUUGUUUCAUUAAACUUACUUCCAGGGUAUGCUGUUGAACGGACAAUAUAUUGCCGUGAAAAGGCUCUCCAAGAGUUCUGAACAGGGUGAUCGUGAAUUUAAAAAUGAAGCCAUGUUGCUUGCUCAACUGCAACACCGGAACUUAGAAGGCUAUUAGGCUUUUGCUUAAAAGGAGAAGAAAGGCUCCUCAUUUACGAAUAUAUACCUAACACAAGUCUGAAUCACUUCCUUUUUGGUAUGGUAACCUCUUCUCAGUAUAUUUCAUAGUUCUUUCUUAUAGAUUUUACAUUACAACACCAGAGCAUACUACAUUAAUUUGUCUAACAAAUUAAAUUGCUUUUAGAUCCCAUCAAUUAUGGAUAUUUGGAUUGGGAAACACGUUACAAGAUCAUAGGAGGAAUUGUUCGUGGUCUUCUUUACCUCCAUGAAGAUUCUCGACUUCGAAUUAUUCAUCGCGAUCUCAAACCUAGCAACAUUCUGCUAGGUGAGGAUAUGAAUCCUAAAAUUGCAGAUUUUGGUAUGGCAAGAUUGUUUGUUAUGGAUCAAACUCAAGGAGAUACAAAGACUAUUGUGGGGACCUAGUAAGUAAACAUGGCACUCUUACUUUUGUUUUGUUCGUCUUAGAACCAAAAUAAUUGUGUAUUUAAUAUGAUGUAAUCAUGUAGUGGAUAUAUGGCGCCAGAAUAUGCAAUGCAAGGGCGUUUUUCUGUCAAAUCGGAUAUCUUUAGUUUUGGCGUGAUAGUUGUUGAGAUAGUUAGUGGUAAGAAAAUUGGUACCUUUUGAAAUGGUGAAAAUGAAGAGGACCUUCUAAGCUAUGUGAGUAAAAAUCUACAAUUAAAUGUCCAUAUAUUUCUCUGUUAUUUCUCCAAAUGAAAAGCGUAAUAGGUAAUGUUUUAUUGGUUGCGUAAUGUCUUAUAUAUUUUUGUAAUCUUUGUAGGUCUGGAGAAAUUGGAGGGACGACACAAUUCCAAAUAUCAUAGAUCCCAAGUUGACAACAGGCUCAAGAAAUGAAAUGAUCAAAUGCAUCCACAUUGGUUUACUAUGUGUCCAAGAAAAUGUGAAUGACAGACCAACCAUGGCUUCAAUUGUUUCCAUGCUGAACAGUGAGUCCCUCACACUCUCAGUACCUUCAAAACCUGCAUAUUAUUGGCAAUACAACUCUAAAUCAGACACAGAGACGUUUGGUACAUCGGAAAGCUCUAUAUAUGUGUCAAAAAAUGAGGUUGCAAAUAUUACCGAACCAUAUCCACGCUAGGGAACAAGUAGUCAAAUUUAAUUACUUUUUGGAGAUCACCAUAUUUGUUUAAGUGAGCUUUACUAAGUUGCUUCCAUCACAAUAAGAGAAGGGUCUGUAAUGAUUUCAGCAGAGUUAAGGUUACAAAUGAUUAAUUUUGAUGUUUACCUAUAGUUUUUUAUAUAUUGUUUUUCUUAGUUUACCUAACAUAUAUGUCCGUGAAAUUUAAACUCAUGUUAUUUAAGAGGUUCUUAUUUUAGAAAAAAAUUCUUAACGCCAGCUUUUACCAACUUUGGUUGACGUUUAUGGGAAAUUUUAUGGUAUCUACUCGUAUGUGAUACCUACAUUUACAAAUGUGACAACAUAUUUAUAGUCAAAGUGGUAAUGCUGAGUCGUAUUGUUUGUAAUCUUGUUCUAAUAAUUAUAAUUACAAAAUGUACAACCAUUUUACAACUUUUUGAACAAAUUGUUCUCAUAGUUGUAAUUUUGUUUAACUUCAUGUAAAUAGUGUAAAUAAAUUUGGUAAAUUUGUUCUCAAUGUUAUAAUUUGAUUCAUAACAUUAUAACUUUUGUUCAAGUACGUACAUGUAAAAUAAAAGUAAGAUAUAUGUCCCAUACCAUAGCUUGUCUCAAGGUUUAUAUCAUCAAAUGAUAUUUCAUAUACUACAACUACUAUAGAGCAAAAACAAGUUAAUUGUUAAACACAAAAACUCAUUGGAUCCUUAUCUUAGAAUCUUGGUUCCGCCCCUGAAUAGAGUUGAUGAUUAUCUUAUGCAUUAUGUUUGAUAAAUAUUGAAUUGCAACCUAUUCAUAUGGAGAGAAGACUGAGAUCGAUUAAAUUGAAAUAUAAAACUCAAAUAACCAAAAUCCAAAAAGUUACAACAAUAAUAAUGUCUCACAACCACUUCCACAGUUCCGUAAAUCUAAGCAAACAAUCCUCUUGAAAGAAAAAAAUACAAACAAUUUUAGAUUUGAUGUAGAAGAAAAGAAAAACAAACAAUCUAAGAAAUAGAUCAAUCAAAUUAACGUAGUAAUUGCACAUGCGAAACCUCAACGAGAUCGUCGAGAAGUUCUAUCUUUUAGUCCUCAUGCAAAUCCUUCAGUCGUCGGAGCCAAAGAGACCACCUUCGCCAAAGAUAUCACCAAGAUCUCCAUCCUCUUCCUCUUCAUCUUCAACCUUCUCUUCCUUCUUCUGCUCGGCUGAAGCAAUAUCAGCAGCACCUGCAUUACCGGCUGCGGGUGCGACACCAGCAACUGCGCCGCCAGAAGAAACAACAGAUGCCAACUUUUCUCUCCCGGAGGCAACUACUUCGUUGAUAUCUUUAUAUUUCAUUUGGGACAACAGCAACUCGAUCCUAUCAUUAUCGGCUUCGGCUCCGACAGACCCGAGAAUCUUCUUCACAUCACCAGCAGUGGGACUGGUGUUCCCUCCCAGAAUAGCCAGCAUAUAAGCAGCAAUCACCUUCAUAUCUUCUAAUUAGCAAUGGGGCUUCUUCAACAGGGGGAUUAGGGCAAAUUAAGUUGGGGAUUAUUGUAAGGGCGGGGUGGUUUAUAUAGAGUUUGAGAAACGUGGAGACCGAGUUAUAUAUGGAAAAGGAAUCCUAAUGCUUUAUGGAAAUUCAAGUGGUGAUUAUGGUAGGUCUGUACUUCUUAUGGUAUCUUAAGGUACUAUGUGGGAUUCAAGGUAACCGGGUGCUACAAGGAAAUACCAUAAGAUUUUGUUCUAUUCCUAUAAGGAGUAGAAUUAGAUAGGCUUUGACCAAAGAAAAGAAUUUUAUAGGUUACAUCUUUUAGCAUGGUCUAGACUAUUAUAUCCUCUGUCAAUUAACACACAACAUUAUAACUUUGCUCCCAAUUAAGGAGUAAGAGAGGCGAGAAAUUUUGCACUUGAGCAAUUGAGUCGUCCCCCGUCUGCGUUGAAUAGCGAGAGCUUAAGGAGUCGCCCCAAUUUUGGGGCCGCUAUGUAACACGGUGUGGAGAGGAUACUGAGCUUCCGGAAGCUCAUUAAAUUGAUUCCAUGAUUCUCCCAAACAUAGGACUUGUCUUAUUUUCUUAUGUUAGUUCAGUUCAAUCCAAACCCAUGUACCAAACGUGCACUUAGCGUACCAAAGUGAAUUGUUUUAGAGCUUGCUAUACAGAGAUUCAGUGCAUGUUUGGUACCCAGUACUGGGUUAGACCUCCUUAAUUCUUAAGACUAUCCUGGACUAGUGUGGACUGCCUUAAAUUGUACUAAUACUGGGUCACGUUUGGUGUUGCAUGGGAUUAGGAAAAAAAAGUUCUAAAUUAGAGAUGUCUCAUGUUUGGUGAUGCAUUGGACUGGACUACUCUAACAUAACAAUCUAACAUCUAACAAUCUUGUUAUUGAAAUUUUGACAUGAAAUCCAAAAAAAAAAAAAAAAAAGUAGUGAUCAAGCAUACAUCUUUAUCAAAUGAGUAAUAUUAAGCAAAGGAAACAUAGAAACAAGUAUGAGAGCAUGGCAUCUGACCUCAUCCCCUUUUCGUUGAAGCUGCAAAAGCUCUUGACAGUAUGAAAGGCACUCGGCAUGGUACAUAGCAGCUAACUCUUUGAUCAAGGACUUUCUUCUAAUAAUGCCAAUCACUUCAAAGAAAAACAGACAAAGGUUAGAGUCAUGAAAAUGUUCAUUGUAUGUCGCACAAAAUCUUCUCUGAAGUAGUUACUGGGAAAUAUCAUUAAUUGGGUUUGAAGACUAAAGUUUCAAAUCAGUUUGCAUACCGCGUGUUCCAUCCUUUAUAUCAAACCCUAUUAUAUUUGAGAAUCAAAUUACAGUGAUAUAGAUGUAGCCAUAAAAUUUAAAAUUAGUUAAUGUAAACAAAAAGAUGUCCAUCUUCUGCUUCCUAUCUCACAUAGACAUUACCUUUAGCCACAAUGCUAUUUAGAUUAUGAUGAAUGCAAUCUAGAGCCUAAGACAAAAUUCGAAAGGAGACGAUACAAUUAUUCACCUAUCCCAAGUCUCAUUUAUCUUUUUAACCAUUGGAUUUUCACAAUGUGAAAAAUCUCCUAUAGAAAGUCAAGUCCUUGAUACACCCACAAGACAUCAGACCCCAAAUCCUAUCUCAAUUGUGAAAAAUUUCACAUCUUUCAACAAAUCCAGAAACGAAAACACAGUCAAAGCCGUAAAUGAGAGAGAGAGAGAGAGAGAGAGAGAGUUACUUCGGCUGGGAUCGAAUGGAGGAUCAGGAACGGGAGGAUCAUCGGUUUGAGUGGAGGGUGGUGGCUCAUCAGAAGGAAGAGCUUCUUCUUCUUCUUGAUCUGUGUCUGCUUCUGCUUCUGGUUCAGAUUCUCCUUCUCCUUCUUCUUCUUCUUCUUCGUCUUCUUCUUCUUGCUGGGAUGAUUCUUCUUCUUCUUCUUCUUGUUGCUGGGUGCUUCGGGGUGUAACAGAGAGGAGGUGAAGAAGAAGAGAGAAGAGUUGUGGAGGAAGCGAUGCGAACUGAGAGAGGUUAGUGAAGUCUUAGCCAAGGGCCUCUCAUCGGAGUACCCACGCUAACACCGGCUAAGGAGGCCAAAUCAGAAAACAGGUCCAAAUUAAACCCGUUAAUAUUAGUACCGAGAAAACAUGAGAUUAAUCUUGUUUCACUCCUUAUUUAACCUCCUUAAGUAAUACCGGGUUCCUAACGUACCCUCAUAGUCUUCUCAUAGUCUUAUUUGAGGUACCAUUUGCAAAAUUUUCCAUUAGUUAAUUAAUAUGUCAUGUACUUGACUCCAAUAUGGACGGUUUUUAUAAUUCAUGUAGGCCUUGAAAAAUGCCAGGAAUUAUCGCACUUCCAAUUUACUUCCAAAUAUCAUAGAUCCAGACCAACAAGUGCGGUGUUAGAAAUAACUUUGUACUAAGAGAAAAGGUUAAAUUUUGUUCCAUCCAAGCUUUUCCUGUCUUUCAAAAUCUAGGAGCAUCCCGGAAAGAACCUCACACAGAAUGCGAUAAAAUCUAAUACAGUAAUACUUAAAGAGAAAAUAAACAAUAGUAGUGAAAUUAUAGGAAUCCUGAUUCUUGAUAAACAAAAUUUCUCCAACAGAAAGCACAAGAUAGAACAUGAUAAAAAUAUAUUGCGCAAAAUAUCCGGUACCAAAACAGAACCAAAUAAACAGAACAUCUAAAAUGUAAAAAUCAACCCUACUUCUCCUUGGAGGCUGUUGCGGCAGCUUGUCCUCUGAGACGACCAGUUCUCCUGGCAGCAAUCAGACCAACCUUCUGCCCAGGAGGAGCAUCACGCCUGACUGUGCUAGCAUGACCAAUAUGCUGGUGGUUACCUCCUCCAUGAGGAUGCUCAACAGGAUUCAUAGCCACACCACGCACCUUAGGCCAGCAGUUCCUCUUCACUCUGAACUUGUGGUAAGCAUUACCGGCCUUGAGCAUAGGCUUCUCAGUUCUGCCUCCACCUGCAACUUGACCAAUCAUAGCACGGCACCCACUUGGAACAAUCUUCUUGGCACCAGAAGGAAGCUUGAUUCUACAAGAAUCAAUACAAACAAAAAAACAAUUAACUACUAUGUUUGGAAACAUCAUAUUAAUAUACAAACAAAGCUAGGAUGUUUAAACUCAAAGCACGGUAGAUGAGCUCAGAUAAGCAGCAAGCAUAUCACCCAAUACAACAUGUGACACUAUCAUCAUACAGAUCCAUCACAACACAAAAGCUUUUUCGAUCAUCAGCCAGUUGAAAAGUAAGUCCUUAUAAGGACCCUAAAUUUAUAUACAGUAACCAACCAAGAUCAUCCAAGCAGUGAUUAACAACCAAGAACAUAAAAAUUUGAUCUUUACUGGCAAGUGUCAACUUGAAUUAGAUGCAAUUAAAAUGCUAUACAACAAACAACUCAUCUAGAAAGCAGAUUACUAACUAAACACCAAUAACAAUGCAAAAGCUUAUACAUACAGUGAGAUUGUGAACUCUACAUUCUUUUGACAAAGCCUAUAAAAUAAUUCAGAAUCUCACCUUCGAAAAAUCUAUUCUUUGCUAGUAAUUUCUAAAAUCAACCAAAUAGUGAGAUUGUGAACUCUGCGACAGACUUUGAAAAUCGCAAAAUCUAAUAUUUAACACUAAAAGUGUGAACGAAAUAGAACCGCACCAAAUCCAACACAUCCACUAGCUACUACACACGAAUCUGAUGCAUCACCAUGAUCAUAUAAUCGGAAAUUAUCAAAUAACAUUCAAACAGACCGAAUCAAUCCAAGAAAAUUUCAAUAGAAUCAGAAACAAACCUCGAGGUAUCAUUAUCAGGGUUGUGACUGAUAACCACAGCAUAAUCCCCAGACGCCCUAGCUAGGGUUCCGCGGUCCCCAACAUGAUGCUCCACGUUACACACCACAGCUCCCUCGGGAAUAGAUCUGAUCGGCAGCACAUUUCCGACGACCAAAUUGGCCUUCUUACCGCAGUAAAUAAACUGGCCGGUGUAAAUGCCCUCGGCGGCGACGAACAGCUCGUUCUGCUUCUUGUAGCGGAAAGGAUGACGGAAGCUGACGCGAGCGAGCGGCGCACCGCGUCCGGGGUCGUGGAUGAUGUCGGUGACGACGCCCUUGAGGUAGCCGUUGCGCUCGCCGAAGUCGAGGGAGCGGAAGCGGGCGGGGCCUUUGCGGUGGUGGGUGUGGGACUUGAAGACGGAACCCGCACCCUUACGUUGAGCUCUGAUGACGCGUCCCAUUGGUGGCGGAAGAGCUAGGGUUUUGCUCUCUCUGUAGUGAAAGAGUAACAGGGGGGCGGCACUCUCUGAAAACCUAAUGGGUGUGUGGGUUUUAUAUGUGGCGACGAUGAGUUGAGUAAGGGUUAUAUGGGCCUUGGGUUAUCUGGGUUUGAAAUGGGCUUUCAUGAGCUUGACUGGGACUGAUAGCACGUUCAAAGCCCAAUUUCUUUUCCCCUGCAUGCUUUUUUUUUGUUGGAACAGUUUAUUUAUUUAUUCCUUUUCCCCUAUUUAUUUUUUGUUGUUUUCUUUUUUCUUUUUCUGUUUUUUUUAUAAAUAAAUAAAAUAAAAUAAUAUAUACAUUUUGAAUCUCAGUGUUGCCCUGUUAACGAACCAGAUCAUUAACGAAUCGGAUCUACCUAAAUCUAUACCCGAUCCGUUUAACAGAUCCAGAUUUUUAACUGUGUGUUUGGAUGCGGGUGAAUUCCUGGGAAUUUAAUAAAAAAUGAGGAAUUCCCAAUUUCUUUGACUCUUUCCACCGUUUGGAUUAUUAUCUCGUGAAAUUUGCAAAUUCCACGAGAAAAUAAUCGUGGAAUUUAAGAGCUUGAAUUCCUCACAAAAUUGACGUCAUUUGUCAAUUCCCUAAACCCUAAUUCAUGGAAUUGUAAUUUUCAUGACUUUGAAAUUUCUGUGGAAAUUGGAAUUGUCUCAUCCAAACACAACAUAAUGAAUCAACAGAUUAAAGUUUCAAUCCAAACUUGUUUAAGAGAGCAUCUUUAGCAAUGCUAGUCAUUUUCUAAUCAAAUUUUAGCUAAAAUAGCUAAAAAGUCAUUUUGGCUAGUCACUUAGAAAUCUCUCUACACCAGUACUCUGUAUUUCAACUAAAGUUUGAUUUAUAUUACAGAUCAAAUAAAGAAAAAUUAAUUUAAAUGUGUUUUAAUAAUACAUAAAAUGACUUAAAAGGAAUAUUUUGAAUUAAUAUAAAUUAUAGACAGUCUCAUCUCGCUAGCUAUAUUUAGCUAACGAGAUAGCUAAAAGUUAUAAUAGCUAAACUUUGGCUACUAUGCUGGAGCUCCUAAAAUAGCCAAAAAGUUAAAAAUAGAGAGUCUGAUAAAGUUGCUUUAAACACCAUAGAUCCAGUUCUCUCAACAAUUGUGGAGACUUCAGACCAAUGUCAUGGUGUGGAUGGUUACUUCAGACCAAUUCAGACUUCAGACUUCAGCUUUUAGAUCUAACUCUUUUUGCAUGCGCCAAUAUAAGUGACCUAGAAUGAAGCCUCAUUAGAGCACCAAUUAGCUUCAUAUUUUGUGUAUGGUUGCUCAUCAGUAGAGCUCAUUUAGGCCUCAUCAUUUGGCUCUUCGGCUCUAGCCCGCCCUAAAACCCGCCCUACCCUCUAGGGCUGAAGCCUUACCAGGCCCUCCAUUAGGGCGGGCCGGCCCUAGCCCUUCUCAAAUAGGGUAGGGUAAGGGUCAAGCAAAUGAAACCCAGCCCGGCCCUAAAAGUCCGCCCUAUAGGCCCUAAAGAUUUCUUAUUUUUUCUAUUGUUUUAAUAUGUGUCUCAUAUUUUUUAGAUAUAAUACAACUAAUCUUCUUUAUUUGUAAUUGAUUUUCUAACUUUAUUUAUUUGAUUUUCUUUUGCUUCAUUGAAUAACGGUUGUAUUUUGAUGAUUUAGAUUUUAGAGAGAUAGUUCAUGAGAUAUAUGUGUAUAACCUCUUUGAUUAAUAUUUAUAUAUAGAUGUCCUAAGUUAAGUAUAAUGUAUAUGCAUGUAUGUUAAAUAUGACUACAAAAUAUGGUGUAUUACAUAUAAGUAAUAUAAUCAUUGAGGAUUAAACAAAGUUGUAAGAAAAAUAAAAGAAAAAAAUGAACUAGCCCAUCUCGGCCUUAUUUAGCCCUAUUUAAAAUACCAUUAAGGCGUAUUCAAGCCUCGGUCCUACCUUACCCGGUCCUAAAUUUUGUUGACUUUGACCGAGCCCUACCCGACUUUACCCUAAGCCCUAAAUUUUAGGGUAGGGCCGGCCCUAGCCCGGCCCAUGAUGACCCCUAAGCUCAUGUAUUGAAAUGUUAAACCUUUAUUUUUCCUUUCUCUCUAGUUUGCUCUAUCAGUUUGUUUUUAUUCUUUCUAAUUUUUGUGUUGCACUUUAUGGUUUUUGCCUUUCUUUAAUUAAUGACAUUUCUGUUUCAUAAAGUAAAAAAAAGAGCACGAGUAGCAACUCAACUACUUCCCCAAUUCACACAGUUUACCUAUUUCUAUCAUUUUCAUAUAGAACCAACAUAAUUUAUGUUAAAAUCCAAAAACUAGUCUACUCAAUUGCCUAAUCUAGGCUCUACAUGAAUCUGCCAAUGAUCCUAGUCGAUUUAUGAAAAAUACACACAGUCCUCUAUCUUUGACAUAUGAUUUUUUAUUUUCUUCUUAUCCUCCACGAUGAUCAAUAUUUGGUGAUUACAUUUUCCAAAUCAUUUUAAUUGCCUCCAAUAUUUAACCUGUACCUUGCUAAUGCUAUGGAAAAUUGUUGCAGUGAUAGAAUGACCUCAAUAGAAUACCAAAAACAACUGUUGCUAGUAAUCAACAUAUAUGGUGAUGUUAUAAAUAAAAGCAGGUCAACAAGUGGUGAACAUGAAGAACCUAAGGAAUAAAUUAAAGGUCUUUUCUCAUUUGUUUUAAGCUCUUUGAAUGGUUGAAUGAGACAAAAGAAGUAAAAGAUACGAAAUUAAACAGUUAGAUGCAGGUUUCUAUAACGUACAUCUUCAUAUUUGAUAUACACUUUUAGAAUACAAUUUAGAUACAAAACGCAUUACCAAAUUAAAGCUGGUAGAAUAGAUGUGAUUAUAUGAAUGUUACUAUGUUAGGUAGACUGCACUUCAUGUUAUAGCUAGCCAUGAUGAGACUCAUAACAAAAGAGGUGAAUAUAUAUGCAUGAUAUUGUUGUGGACAUGACAAACCUUCUCUACUAUUAAUUAAGAACACAAAUUUUUGGUUUAUUUUUGGACAACUCAAUAUUAAUCUACGUCUAAAAUAUCAAUAUCUACACCUAUUUCUACAUAGAUAGAACUUGCAUGACCAUACCUCGUCAGCUGGAAAUGACCAGCAUCAGUCAAAAGAAGCCACGUGUCAAGUAAAAGAGCUAACAGGGCGGCCUCUAUCGAUCCUUUCCUAAAUUCUAGUCUCUUCCAAACUCGAUUCCGAUUCGAGACAAGUUCGAUCUCUAUUUGCUCCCAACUUCCUUCACUCUUUCUUCUUUUCUAAAUCGUCGUUGUUAUUGUGAUGCCAAUUUUAGCUCUUAGUUUUAUUUCGAUGGCUCUUUCUCUCUUAAGGUUUUUGAGAGCGAUUCUUUGUUCUUCUUAGAUUUGAUCAUAAAAAAAUAAAAAAUAAAAAGACUGAGAAUGUGGGAUGUGCAUUUGGCUUGAUUAUGGUGAAAUUCUGGAAAGUGGAGAGUGGCGAGUAGCUUACUGCAUCUUUCUUCUUCGAUGGCUCUCUCUCUGGAAAACUUCCGUUAGUUCCCCGUUAGCUCUUUCAACAUGCAUAAAACAUCUUUGAUGAAAAAAAGACACGUGGCUUCUUUUGAUUGGUGUUGGUCAUUUCUAGCUGACCAGGUAUGGUCACGCAAGUUCUAUCCUUUCUACAUAGCACUAAAAAAUUCCUAUUGUCCAUGUGUAAGUUAUGUAAAAUUCUGAAAACGCUCCCAUUUCGCUUCUUGAUUGAACCUAAAAAGGCAAUAAGGAGUGUAGAUUAUCAAAUGAAGAGUGCAAAUUUCACUCUCCUAUUUUAACUUGUAUUUCGGCUAUUUCCUAAUACUAAAAUAUAAAAUAUUG
RNAcentral lists this long non-coding RNA (38224 nucleotides) under Fragaria vesca (wild strawberry). RNAcentral describes it as "long non-coding RNA (FVES_LNC001716)". Lineage: Eukaryota; Viridiplantae; Streptophyta; Magnoliopsida; Rosales; Rosaceae. The record is from RNAcentral.